CCUACGGGUGGCAGCAGUGAGGAAUAUUGGUCAAUGGGCGGGAGCCUGAACCAGCCAAGCCGCGUGAAGGAAGAAGGCCCUACGCGUUGUAAACUUCUUUUGUAGGGGAAUAAAGGGAGCCACGUGUGCCGUUGUGAAUGUACCCUAUGAAUAAGGAUCGGCUAACUCCGUGCCAGCAGCCGCGGUAAUACGGAGGAUUCGAGCGUUAUCCGGGUUUAUUGGGUUUAAAGGGUGCGUAGGCGGGCGGGUAAGUCAGGGGUGAAAGGCCGGGGCUCAACCGCGGGAUUGCCUUUGAUACUGUUAGACUAGAGAGGAGGUGCGGUAGGCGGAAUGCGUGGUGUAGCGGUGAAAUGCUUAGAUAUCAUGCAGAACUCCGAUUGCGAAGGCAGCGUACCAGACUGCGACUGACGCUGAGGCACGAAAGCGUGGGUAUCAAACAGGAUUAGAUACCCGUGUAGUC
RNAcentral lists this ribosomal RNA (460 nucleotides) under uncultured bacterium. Its description in RNAcentral is "partial 16S ribosomal RNA". It matches the Rfam family "Bacterial small subunit ribosomal RNA", at positions 338 to 795 of the family's 1533-position model. The record is from RNAcentral.